This is a long non-coding RNA of Sitophilus oryzae (rice weevil), 380 nucleotides long. RefSeq lists it as uncharacterized. The record is from RefSeq and is a predicted model, not a curated record. NCBI's taxonomy places the organism in Eukaryota, Metazoa, Arthropoda, Insecta, Coleoptera, Curculionidae. The transcript is spliced from 2 exons.
GAAAUUGUUCAUCUCAAAUUACUGCAGUUCAAAAUGAAUACUUUACUCGUAUAUGCUGUAACCAUAAUUUUUGCCUAUAACCAUAUAUUGGUCGAAAAUGCUCCUCAGUUAGAAAAUGGAUUUUCAUUAAUGUUUACAGCGCUUAAAUGUACCAUUGAGAAUAACUUCCACACUGCAGGAAAUUACAGUGAUAGUGUAUGCCAAAAGUCCUGUGCUGCUCAAGGGUACAGUAACGGCCUAUGUGAGAUAGAUGGGAAUUGUAAAUGUUGGGAUAAUAAACCAUAAUACUCAUUCAAUGUGGAACGCGUAAUGUAUUGUCACUUUUUGUCUUUUAAAAUAAAUACAACAAUAUAAAUGUUUAUGCUGGUUGUUAUAAUAAG